Molecule: long non-coding RNA, 2165 nt
Organism: Lepidothrix coronata (blue-crowned manakin)
Lineage: Eukaryota; Metazoa; Chordata; Aves; Passeriformes; Pipridae
Exons: 3
Source: RefSeq, a predicted model, not a curated record
UGACGCGGGAGUCGCGGGCUCUGAAGUCGCCGCAUUUGGCUUGAGGAUCCCGAGGUGUUGGGGGCACAUAAAUCAAGAUACUACGCGAGAGAUCGGUGUUUGCAGGGAGGAGCCUGUCCGCCAUUGGUGCCUCGGGGAGUCCGCCCUGCUGGGGCACAGCGACAGCUCUUGUCCCCUCUGUUUCCUCUGAACACGUUAAUUUUAUUUCUUUUUUUUUUUUUUUUUUUUGUUCUGCUGUAAAGAACACCGCUUCUCACCUUUGUUAGGCAGAUGUAGAGAGAGAUAACGGAGGAGUGCCCAGCUGAAGUCUUGCUUGGAAACAAGAAGAGAAAGGCGAGACUGCUAUCAAACGGUACAAGACUUUUGCACAAUUUUCAGCCCUGUCAGAGAUGGACACACUGUGACUGGAUGGGGGCUACCACGAUCCAUGCUGAUUUCCGGCUUCCACCUAGAGAAGUACUAGCUCUGGCCUUCAGCACACAGUUGUAAGUAGAGCCUGGAAGCAGAUGCACACCCAAGAAGAAAUCCUGCUGUUCCCUGAGGCAAUCAGACCCAUGGGGAGCAGCCACUCCAAGUGCCAGGUGCAUCAGAUUAGUCCAGGUGAGUGAGAAUGAAAACUAGGACUGAGCUGACCAAGCCUCAGUCUGGCAGCAAUUUAGGGGCACGUUGGGGUGUGAAAUGUGUGAUUCUCCUUCAUAUUGUGGGUCUAACAACCAGUCCUACUGAUGGGCCUGUCUUCAGUAUCCUGGAAGGUGGCCUGUGCAGAGACUGACAGCUCAGAGUCUCCCUGUAAGUAGGGUGCACCAAGCUUUAAUUUUACUUAUGUUGUAAUUAACGGAUUUGUCAUGCAACUUUCAAAAAUAUUUGUUUUCCUCCAUGAAAUUAGACAAAUUCUAGCAAUAUUUAGUCAUGUUGAUUGUCACUCUAGGCAAAAAUCCAUCUCUAUUUUUAGCUGAACUUGUGCAUUUCAUGUGAUAAUGCUCUGGGAACACUUCUAUUUCCCUAGGAAGAUGAUGCAAAAAAAGAUGAUUGCUUUCUCUCACAAGUGUCUCACCUAAAUGAAGUAGCACAUUUAUUACAGGCUUUUGCUUUAGGAGGUGAAGCAAAUCUGUAUCUCCAGUUUUCAAUAUAUCUAUCAAGAUACUUUUAGCUAAUUUAAAAAACAUACCACAGAGGCUUAAAUUUUGAAACUCACACUAUUUCAACAGCCUAUUCAAAGGGAUGGUUGUCUUUUGGGAAGGAUAAGAGUGUUAGAAGGAAUGUCAGGAUGAGAGAUUGAAAGCUGAUGCAGAAGGGAAUAGGAGUGCUAAAAUCUCCUGACACUCCUAGAGUGGGCAAAGGAGUAGAGUCUCUCACUCAUUCCUGCCAUCACUCAACCUGUUCCUUCACUCAAAAUGUGCCAUGACUGCCUUCCCACAUCAUGGGAGACAGCUCUGGGCUCUUCCAAUUCAUGCUGCCUGAUCAGGAAAACAUUUUGCUCUUCUCGUACUGUUUUGAUUAAUAGGGACAGCUCAUUGUAAAAAUAAUAAUAAAAAAAAUUAUUAUUAAUUUGUAGUCCAUAUACUCACUUCUUGCUUUUGAGUAACAAAACAAUCCAUGCAGAUGAACCACCAGGAGUAAAGGAUGAACCCUGUCCAUAAAAUAUGAGACUGGCAAUAAAAUAAAAGAUGUCAUAUUAGGAAAUGAAGUGUUACUCCAGAAUUGAGUGAAUUUGAAUUGCUUAGAACUCCUCCUUUCUUUUCCAUAACCUUGAAAGGUUCAAGUUCCUGUAAACAGGUUUUUUGCUUUUCCUUCAGGUUUAAUUUUGUUUCUUUUUCAGGAAUGUCCUAAUACUUCAAUAACACACACACUGUUACUUUGUACCUACAGCUGCCAGUGAAAAGCUUAGACAGAUACUAGACACACACAUUAUGCUAAAAUAGAACCAAGAAAAUUAAACUGCCUGGUGUGGAAAAGAUAAAUUUGGGUAAGCAUUACUUGACUUGAACAGUCAUGAAAUAUAGAAUAUUUCCUCAAAUAACACAAACACACUGUAAUGCACCAAUCUAGUCUACGUACCUGUACAUUGUUGUCAUAUCUACAAGGAUUCUGUGUAAUACUGGUCAUAAUAAAAAUUCAUUCAUUAAAUAAUCUGUGGGGUUUUUUUCUUUGAAAUUAAACUAUUG